CCUACGGUGGGCAGCAGUGGGGAAUAUUGGGCAAUGGAGGCAACUCUGACCCAGCAACGCCGCGUGAGUGAUGAAGGUCUUCGGAUUGUAAAACUCUUUAAGUGGGGACGAAGAAAGUGACUGUACCCACAGAAUAAGCUCCGGCUAACUACGUGCCAGCAGCCGCGGUAAUACGUAGGGAGCAAGCGUUAUCCGGAUUUACUGGGUGUAAAGGGCGUGUAGGCGGGCAUGCAAGCCAGAAGUGAAAUCUGGGGGCUUAACCCCCAAACUGCUUUUGGAACUGCGUGUCUUGAGUGAUGGAGAGGCAGGCGGAAUUCCCAGUGUAGCGGUGAAAUGCGUAGAUAUUGGGAGGAACACCAGUGGCGAAGGCGGCCUGCUGGACAUUAACUGACGCUGAGGCGCGAAAGCGUGGGGAGCAAACAGGAUUAGAUACCCUAGUAGUC
RNAcentral lists this ribosomal RNA (443 nucleotides) under uncultured bacterium. RNAcentral describes it as "partial 16S ribosomal RNA". It matches the Rfam family "Bacterial small subunit ribosomal RNA", at positions 338 to 795 of the family's 1533-position model. The record is from RNAcentral.